Molecule: ribosomal RNA, 393 nt
Filed under: uncultured bacterium
Lineage: Bacteria
Description: bacterial SSU rRNA
Rfam family: Bacterial small subunit ribosomal RNA
Source: RNAcentral
AAUUUUGCUCAAUGGGCGCAAGCCUGAAGCAGCGACGCCGCGUGAAUGAUGAAGUCUUUCGGGAUGUAAAGUUCUGUCGACAGGGACAAUAAUGAUGGUACCUGUAGAGGAAGCACCGGCAAACUAUGUGCCAGCAGCCGCGGUAAUACAUAGGGUGCAAGCGUUAUCCGGAUUUACUGGGCGUAAAGCGUAUGUAGGCGGUAUUUUAAGUCAAACUUCAAAUCCCGGGGCUCAACCUCGGUUCGGGUUUGAUACUGAAAUACUUGAGUUUGGGAGAGGAAAGCGGAACUAACAGUGUAGCGGUGAAAUGCGUAGAUAUUGUUAGGAACACCCGUGGCGAAGGCGGCUUUCUGGACCAACACUGACGCUGAGAUACGAAAGCGUGGGGAGCAA